Mangifera indica (mango) is the source of this 156-nucleotide small nucleolar RNA. RefSeq annotates it as small nucleolar RNA snoR135. Lineage: Eukaryota; Viridiplantae; Streptophyta; Magnoliopsida; Sapindales; Anacardiaceae. The transcript has a single exon. The record is from RefSeq and is a predicted model, not a curated record.
AUUGAAGGGACGGGAUGUGUGUGUCAGCAUUUGUGUGACAAUCAUUGCACUCUGUGCCUGAAAGAGUUCCCUGCAAAAUUGAUUGUUAGGGGAAGGUGGGCAGUUGUGUCUCAUUUUCUGCCAUUGAGAAUUACAACAAUCAUCUUCUGCACAUCA